Molecule: small nuclear RNA, 134 nt
Organism: Fukomys damarensis (Damara mole-rat)
Lineage: Eukaryota; Metazoa; Chordata; Mammalia; Rodentia; Bathyergidae
Gene: U4
Rfam family: U4 spliceosomal RNA
About the family: U4 small nuclear RNA (U4 snRNA) is a component of the major U2-dependent spliceosome. The structure of U4 snRNA from yeast and human has been reported.
Source: Ensembl
GCGUUUGCGCAGUGGCAGUAUCGUAGCCAGUGAGGUUGAUCCGAGGCGCGAUUACUGCUAAUUGAAAAGACUGCUUUCUGUGAAAGCACUACGGAGAGGAAACUGACCGAAGGCAAGUUUAGAAGACCAGGUGG